Molecule: ribosomal RNA, 465 nt
Filed under: uncultured bacterium
Lineage: Bacteria
Description: bacterial SSU rRNA
Rfam family: Bacterial small subunit ribosomal RNA
Source: RNAcentral
GGAGGAAAGCAGGGGAUCGCAAGACCUUGCGCUUUUGGAGCGGCCGAUGCCUGAUUAGCUUGUUGGUGAGGUAAAAGCUCACCAAGGCUCCGAUCAGUAGCUGGUCUGAGAGGACGACCAGCCACACUGGGACUGAGACACGGCCCAGACUCCUACGGGAGGCAGCAGUGGGGAAUUUUGGACAAUGGGGGCAACCCUGAUCCAGCCAUGCCGCGUGAGUGAAGAAGGCCUUCGGGUUGUAAAGCUCUUUCAGCCGGAACGAAACGGUCACGGUUAAUACCCGUGACUACUGACGGUACCGGAAGAAGAAGCACCGGCUAACUACGUGCCAGCAGCCGCGGUAAUACGUAGGGUGCGAGCGUUAAUCGGAAUUACUGGGCGUAAAGCGUGCGCAGGCGGUUUUGUAAGUCAGAUGUGAAAUCCCCGGGCUUAACCUGGGAACUGCGUUUGAAACUACAAAGCUAG